AGCGAACGCUGGCGGCAGGCCUAACACAUGCAAGUCGAACGAACCUUUCGGGGUUAGUGGCGGACGGGUGGGCAGCCGGUUGGAUCGUGCCUAUAGGUUCGGCAUGACGCGGGGGAUCAUGUGCGAAUACGGAAGGUGCUCUCCGGGGGGAAGUGUGGUCGCCUGUAGAGGGGCUGGCGUCCGAAUAGCUAGUGGGUUGAGUUAAUGGCGCCCCAAGGCGACGAUCAUUAGCUGGUCUGAGAGGAUGAGCAGCCACAUUGGGACUGAGACACGGCCGAGAAUCCUACGGGAGGCAGGAGUGGGGAAUCUUGCGCAAUGGGCGAAAGGAUGACGCAGCCAUGCCGGGUGAAUGAUGAAGGUCGUAGGAUUGUAAAAUUCUUUCAUCGGGGGCGAUAAUGACGGUACCCGGAGAAGAAGCCCCGGCUAACUUCGUG
RNAcentral lists this ribosomal RNA (434 nucleotides) under uncultured bacterium. RNAcentral's name for it is "partial 16S ribosomal RNA". It matches the Rfam family "Bacterial small subunit ribosomal RNA", at positions 30 to 507 of the family's 1533-position model. The record is from RNAcentral.